This 433-nucleotide ribosomal RNA is filed under the name uncultured bacterium. RNAcentral's name for it is "partial 16S ribosomal RNA". It matches the Rfam family "Bacterial small subunit ribosomal RNA", at positions 29 to 507 of the family's 1533-position model. The record is from RNAcentral.
AACGAACGCUGGCGGCAUGCCUAACACAUGCAAGUCGAACGAGACCUUCGGGUUUAGUGGCGCACGGGGGCGUAACGCGUGGGAACCUGCCCUUAGGUUCGGAAUAACUCCCUGAAAGGGGUGCUAAUACAGGAUAAUGUCUUCGGACCAAAGAUUUAUCGCCGUUGGAUGGGCCCGCGUUGGAUUAGCGAGUUGGUAGGGUAAAAGCCUACCAAGGCGACGAUCCAUAGCUGGUCGGAGAGGAUGAUCAGCCACACUGGAGCUGAGACACGGCCCAGACUCCUACGGGAGGCAGCAGUGGGGAAUAUUGGACAAUGGGCGAAAGCCUGAUCCAGCAAUGCCGCGUGAGUGGUGAAGGCCUUAGGGUUGUAAAGCUCUUUUACCCGGGAUGAUAAUGACAGUACCGGGAGAAUAAGCACCGGCUAACUCCGUG